Molecule: long non-coding RNA, 626 nt
Organism: Clupea harengus (Atlantic herring)
Lineage: Eukaryota; Metazoa; Chordata; Actinopteri; Clupeiformes; Clupeidae
Source: Ensembl
ACUUGAUCUAUAUCCACUGAAACAGACCAGUGGCACUGAACCAUAUUCUCCUCUGAGUACUGAACCUCAUUCAACAGACUGUCAACCAAUUCAGCUCCCCUUGUUGGCUGCUAACAUAUGCCUCAGGUCCAGUGAGUGUUAGUGUAUGGUAACAUAUGCCUCAGGUCCAGUGAGUGUUAGUGUAUGGUAACAUAUGCCUCAGGUCCAGUGAGUGUUAGUGUAUGGUAUCAUAUGCCUCAUGUCCAGUGAGUGUUAGUGUAUGGUAACAUGUGCCUCAGGUCCAGUGAGUGUUAGUGUAACAUAUGCCUCAGGUCCAGUGAGUGUUAGUGUAACAUAUGCCUCAUGUCCAGUGAGUGUUAGUGUAUGGCUGGUAACAUAUGCCUCAGGUCCAGUGAGUGUUAGUGUAAUAUAUGCCUCAUGUCCAGUGAGUGUUAGUGUAUGGCUGGUAACAUAUGCCUCAUGUACAGUGAGUAUACUCAAUUCAUUGUGUGCAAUGCACCCUACUGAAAUCUAGGAAGAACACGACCACUUCGUUCCUCCAAAGGAGGUCUGUUGUCUUUGCCUUCUCUCUCCACAGCGAGAGAUGGCAAUCAAGACCUUUUCUGAACCCAUGAGGGCUAUCUGUU